Molecule: ribosomal RNA, 810 nt
Filed under: uncultured bacterium
Lineage: Bacteria
Description: bacterial SSU rRNA
Rfam family: Bacterial small subunit ribosomal RNA
Source: RNAcentral
UCGGAUUACCUGGGUGUCAAAGGGCGGUUAGCCCGAGUCAGUUCCAGAUUGUGCAAAUCCUGGGGCCUCCAACCCUCCAACUGCCAUUCGAACUGUUUUUUCUUGAGUAUCGGAGAGGCAUCGGAAAUUCCUAGUGUAGCGGUGAAUGCGUAGAUAUUAGGAGGAACACCAGUGGCGAAGCGAUUGCUUGACGACAUCUGACGUUGAGUCGCGAGAGCGUGGGGAGCAAACAGGAUUAGAUACCUUGGUAGUUCCACGCUGUAAACGAUGAAUACUAGGUGUGCGGGGACUGAACCCCAUGCGUGCCGCAGUUAACACAAUAAGUAUUCCACUUGGGGAGUACGAUCGCAAGGUUGAAACUCAAAGGAAUUGACGGGGGCCCGCACAAGCGGUGGAUUAUGUGGUUUAACUCGAAGCAACGCGAAGAACCUUACCAGGGCUUGACAUCCUACUAACGAAGUAGAGAUACAUCAGGUGCCCUUCGGGGAAAGUAGAGACAGGUGGUGCAUGGUUGUCGUCAGCUCGUGUCGUGAGAUGUUGGGUUAAGUCCCGCAACGAGCGCAACCCCUAUUGUUAGUUGCUACGCAAGAGCACUCUAGCGAGACUGCCGUUGACAAAACGGAGGAAGGUGGGGACGACGUCAAAUCAUCAUGCCCCUUAUGUCCUGGGCUACACACGUAAUACAAUGGCGGUAAACAGAGGGAUGCAAGACCGUAAGGUGGAGCGAACCCCUAAAAGCCGUCUCAGUUCAGAUUGUGGGCUGCAACUCGCCCACAUGAAGUCGGAAUCGCAUAGUAAUCGCGGAUCAGC